UGGAGAGUUUGAUCCUGGCUCAGAUUGAACGCUGGCGGCAGGCCUAACACAUGCAAGUCGAGCGGUAGAGAGGUGCUUGCACCUCUUGAGAGCGGCGGACGGGUGAGUAAUGCCUAGGAAUCUGCCUGGUAGUGGGGGAUAACGCUCGGAAACGGACGCUAAUACCGCAUACGUCCUACGGGAGAAAGCAGGGGACCUUCGGGCCUUGCGCUAUCAGAUGAGCCUAGGUCGGAUUAGCUAGUUGGUGAGGUAAUGGCUCACCAAGGCGACGAUCCGUAACUGGUCUGAGAGGAUGAUCAGUCACACUGGAACUGAGACACGGUCCAGACUCCUACGGGAGGCAGCAGUGGGGAAUAUUGGACAAUGGGCGAAAGCCUGAUCCAGCCAUGCCGCGUGUGUGAAGAAGGUCUUCGGAUUGUAAAGCACUUUAAGUUGGGAGGAAGGGCAGUUACCUAAUACGUAUCUGUUUUGACGUUACCGACAGAAUAAGCACCGGCUAACUCUGUGCCAGCAGCCGCGGUA
RNAcentral lists this ribosomal RNA (522 nucleotides) under Pseudomonas sp. 10416. RNAcentral's name for it is "bacterial SSU rRNA". It matches the Rfam family "Bacterial small subunit ribosomal RNA", at positions 1 to 522 of the family's 1533-position model. Lineage: Bacteria; Pseudomonadati; Pseudomonadota; Gammaproteobacteria; Pseudomonadales; Pseudomonadaceae. The record is from RNAcentral.